AUAGGCGACCCCAACCUUGGCAACUUUAAGCCUGGAGAACUUCAACUCCCAGAAUACCCCAGCCAGAAAAGCUGGCUGAGGAAUUCUGGGAGUUGAAGUCCACCAGUCUUAAAGUUGCCAAGGUUGAGGACCCCUGCUCUAACAGCUUUAUAUUUAAGGAAAGAAGAUCAAACAUGAUGGAGUUGCCACUUCCAAUGCGAUAUGGAGUUCUGGGAGAUGCAAUCACUACAAACCCAGAAGAUUUCACGUUGGGCAGGAUUGAAGUAUACGAACCUUGGAGUCUGACCACCAAAAUCCUAUGAGAUUUGCCAGCUUCCCAAGACUUCAUGCAACUUUGGAGGGGAGGUCAAGAAAACACAGCGGUGACCUGAACUGAUAAAAGUCGUCUUGUUUCAGCCUGACUGUCUUGGGAUGAAGCCAAUCUGUGAAAGACCACAACACAGAAGGCAACAAGGAAAAGCCAAGUAAGGAUUCCAACACAGCCAGUAUCACUACUGUGGGAUCCUUAGGCAAACGGCCUCCAGAUCUUGAAAGAACCCAAAAUUACAACUAUGCAACUCUGAUCUAUCAAGAAUGUAAGUAAGAAUGUAAGUAAAGUUCUAAGUGUCUCACCAAAGGGAACAUUCUGGCCCCAUUGUUCCUGACCAGAACCCCAAGAAAAGUCUACAAUCAGGACAUGAGAAGAAAUAGGGGUUUCUCCUUCGUGUUGCUGUACAUUGGGGGGGAAAAACUCAACCAGAGCUGCAUUUACUUUCUCUGUUCUGGAGUAAUCAGACAUGUAGUUGUUGCCCAUGGGAUAAAUCACAUCUAGCAGGAGUUCUCAAUCAGCAGGUCAUUAAUGCCCCUGUGGGUCAUGAUUAACGGUGGCUCAUCCAAAUUACUCAGGAUGCACAAAAAAAGUUUGUCUCUUUGUGUCAAUCUGCUGACAAAUUGUUGUUAUGGAUCCCAGUAGCUCUUUCGGGUUCCAAAUCAUGAAUAUUAUACAGAGAGCUCAGCGGGAAUAAUCCAUGAAGGAUUAUUCUAGGAUUGCCAGUUUAAUAUUUCAAAUGCAGAAGGAUAUCAUGACUCAAAUUAAAUGAUCUCCCUACUGGCUGACAUAGUAAGGUUCUUAAACUAAGUGCAUCUCAUUAAUUAGCAACCUGUGGCCACUCUGUUACAGAAUUCUAGAAAAAUCUGUGUGCUCAAGGAGAUAAAGAUUUUAAUAUAAUCAAAAUACAAAUAAAUAUGAGGUCAGUUGGCUAGUAUCCUUGAUUAACCUUCAUGUGUUAUGCUGGAAAAAUAUGGAAGUUUUCAUUUCCCUUCCUAGAACGAUACAAUAAAUACGCCAAACUGAAUGGCCAAAUGCCAAAUUUCCAGUGUUUCAUAAUGAAAUAAGCUUUCAUGUCAGGUAUUUCAUGUCAGAAUCAUAAUUUUUAUAGUCAAAGAUCUAACCUAUAACACAUUUUGAGGGUUAUUAUAAAGUAUUUAUUUAUUUAUUUAUUUUAUUAAAUUUUUAUACCGCCCUUCUCCCGAAGGACUCAGGGCGGUGUACAGCCAAAAUAAAAUACAGAGUAUAUACAAUUAAAAGAAUUUAAAAAAACUAUUACUAAACGGCUGAUAAUUAAAAAGAUUUAAAAAUUUAAAAUAUUAAUAAAACCCCAAUUUAAAAUCAACUAUUUAUGCCAGUCCUGCUUGAAUGAAUAAAUAUGUUUUUAGCUCACGACGAAAGUAUGAUC
Long non-coding RNA from Ahaetulla prasina, 1715 nucleotides. RefSeq lists it as uncharacterized. The record is from RefSeq and is a predicted model, not a curated record. NCBI's taxonomy places the organism in Eukaryota, Metazoa, Chordata, Lepidosauria, Squamata, Colubridae. The transcript has 3 exons.